ACGGAAGGCAGCAGCUAAGAAUAUUCCGCAAUGGACGAAAGUCUGACGGAGCGACGCCGCGUGGAUGAUGAAGGCCGGAAGGUUGUAAAAUCCUUUUAUAACUGAGGAAUAAGUAAGGUGAGAGAAACGCCUUAUGGUGACUGUAGGUUAUGAAUAAGCAACGGCUAAUUACGUGCCAGCAGCCGCGGUAACACGUAAGUUGCGAGCGUUGUUCGGAAUUAUUGGGCGUAAAGGGCAUGUAGGCGGUUUUGCAAGCUUGAUGUGAAAGGCAGGAGCUUAACUCCUGGACUGCGUUGAGAACUGCAUAACUAGAGUCACUGAGGGGCAAUCAGAAUUCCAGGUGUAGGGGUGAAAUCUGUAGAUAUCUGGAAGAAUACCAAUGGCGAAGGCAGGUUACCAGCAGAUGACUGACGCUGAGGUGCGAAGGUGCGGGGAGCAAACAGGAUUAGAUACCCUGGUA
This 460-nucleotide ribosomal RNA is filed under the name uncultured Treponema sp. RNAcentral describes it as "partial 16S ribosomal RNA". It matches the Rfam family "Bacterial small subunit ribosomal RNA", at positions 341 to 792 of the family's 1533-position model. The record is from RNAcentral. Lineage: Bacteria; Pseudomonadati; Spirochaetota; Spirochaetia; Treponematales; Treponemataceae.